UACGUAGGGUGCGAGCGUUAACCGGAAUCAUUGGGCGUAAAGAGCUCGUAGGCGGUUCAGCAAGUCGGCUGUGAAAGUCCGAGGCUCAACCUCGGAAUUGCAGUCGAUACUGCUGUGACUCGAGUCCGGUAGAGGAGAACGGAAUUCCCGGUGUAGCGGUGAAAGGCGCAGAUAUCGGGAGGAACACCAGUAGCGAAGGCGGUUCUCUGGGGCGGCACUGACGUUGAGGAGCGAAAGCGGGGGAAGCGAACAGG
Molecule: ribosomal RNA, 254 nt
Filed under: uncultured bacterium
Lineage: Bacteria
Description: partial 16S ribosomal RNA
Rfam family: Bacterial small subunit ribosomal RNA
Source: RNAcentral